This is a long non-coding RNA of Taeniopygia guttata (zebra finch), 2526 nucleotides long. RefSeq lists it as uncharacterized. The record is from RefSeq and is a predicted model, not a curated record. NCBI's taxonomy places the organism in Eukaryota, Metazoa, Chordata, Aves, Passeriformes, Estrildidae.
UCUGUGCUCACCUCACCUGGCACCUGCUUCGGAGCCGCCUCACUGCUGUGCCAGCUUCCUGCACAUGCUCCCCUCUGAGCCAGGGCCGCGGCCUUGAAGCUCUCCUCAAUUUACUAAAUGCUUCUUGCUUCCGGAGAAAGCACCUCUGCAGCCCCCCGGUGUGAAGGAUGUCCCUGCCUCACACCUCACACCCAGGGGAACAGGCAUUCCGAGGGGAGCAGGGCCGCUCCCUCUGCUCCCAGCACAAAGACAAUAACCACCCGAGUCAGGUGCACAAAGUCGUCUCUGUUCUGUUUCACUCAAAAGUGAACUGACAGGUACAGAGUAUCCUCUGAGAAAUUUUAAUCAACUACUCACCUGAGGGACUCUUCCUCCCAGAAAUCCCAAUUUAUCCCUUUUUUCUUACUUUACCAGCAUCAUCCUCACUGUACAGCUAGAGUGAACCACUGAUCACACUGGAGAGGAAACACACAUAGCUACUGGAAUAUUUUGCUUUCUAAUCCGUGUGCACCAAAGUCUCCCAUCAGUGCUCACAGCACAGGGGUGCAGCAGGCAGAAAGACACCAAUCCACACCUAACGGAAAGAUCAUUUUGGUGCUACUUUAGCAAGAACUUGUUACUGAGCACACAACACAGGGUUUGUUUGAACUGUGCUGACCUGAUGCUUACCGGGAAGAGAUGCUUCUCAGUUUCCAGGACAUGGACACUUCUUUGAGAUCCGAAGACACCAAAACUUGCAGUUUCCAAUGUUUCCUGUUUUACCUUAGACAUGAACCUGAGCAGAGUUAGACCUGCUCAGGGCUCAAGUACUGAAGCAGGCAUCCAUAGCAGUGACUUGUGACUGGCAGGCUCAGAUGUUUAUUUAGAGUUAUCAGUGCAAACCCAAAGUCCUAAGGCAGCCACUGACAGCAUCAGAAGAUGUUUCUCCUAGAAGGGAAGAAACCAGUCUGUUGCAUGAAAAGUGGUAACCCUGGCAUUGAUCUGUUAUUGCCUCACUGACACUUUCUCCAUUUUGUUCAGAAAAGAACUACUAAAUUUAAUUAUACUGCAACAACAUCUACAGCCACAAAAUUCAACAAAACUGGUUUAAUUUCAGAAAAUGUGUUAAAAUAUAUAUAUAUUUGUACAUCAAUUUGACACACUGUAUUAGUUUACACAAAUUAUGGUCUUUUUUGAAACUGUAUUUAUGAAAUGUACAUUUUUAAUUUAAAUACUCAGUAUACACUUGCAUUUAAUCUGCAUGUUGCAUUUAUUAAAUACAUUAAAUCUGCAAUGUAACAAAACGUUUUCUGCAUACGAAAUUCAAAACACCAUUUUAAAUGAACAAAAGAUGGCUCACUUCAUUUAUUUGUUUUAACAACUAGUGCCUAGCACACUAGCUUAGCUCCACCAACACCAGCUGUUCUUUCUCUUUAUUGACAUUGUUCACAGACUAGUACAUAUUACACUAAGAGUGCUGGAUAAAAACAUGAGGUACGGAAGUGGUUCAAAGAUUACAGGUCAUGCAGAUCAUGCGAGACAGCAAAGAAAGUUGUGAAUGAGAAAACACUAAAUAAAAAUACAUAAAGAAUGUGCAUUAUAAAAUAAAAAAGAAACCAAAACAACAAAACAAAAAAACCAACAACCAACUCAAUUAUACAGCUUUGCUUCUUUGGUUACAAAGUAGGUUGAACAAUUUCACAGCUUUUUAUUCCCACCCAAAAAACCAAACCAAAAACGAAAUGUCAAAAAGCAGAGGGAUCAUGGCCCCCCUUCUCUCUAUUAAAAAGUAGAAACAGAAAUGAGCAAAGUUUUCUUCAUCAAAAUAGCCCAUCACUUAUUUAUUAUAUCACAAGGACUGGUGACUACCUGUACAGAUGCACUAUGGUCUUCAUACUUACACUCUAUACAAAAUUUACAUUCAAGCUGGAUCUUUACUACCGUAAAUAAAUACCAAAGGUCAAUUGCCAUUAGUGUUAGAAAUAUGCCAGGAUUCUUUGUUCAAUUAUUGCCUAGACAUUGUAUCUAUUAACGCAAUCCCACCUAUCAUUUUACCCAUACAGACAUUUAUUAAAAAAAAUUCAAAAGUUCUGUGACAUUGUUCAUGUACAUUAUGAAAAUAGCAGCCCUGUAAUAAAUAAAACAAAUAAAUGAAACUAACAUAGGCAAAUGUUACUUAUAUGAAAAGAACAGUGGCUCUGAAGAGGAAUUGCUGCUCCUUAGCAGACAGCAAGGCUCGAAGCAGCCCAGGAGCAAUGGGAACCUCGGAGAGCCACCCAAGCUCUGACAGACCUCCCUCCUGAAGCCCAGACAAGCCAGCCCGGGCUGCAGGGCUCCUCCGCGGCCGCCGGCGUGCAGGAGGAGCACAGACACCUCAGCAGCACUGCGGCCGCAGCUCGGGCAGCCCCGGAGGGUGAUUGUCUAAUACUGAAAAGGCCAAACACACAAGAGAAGCAGGCUGCUCGCUCGGGCCGAGAGCCGGCGGUGGCACAGGACGGGCUCACGCGGAGGAGACGUUGGGCUGCGCGGGCUGCGUGCUGCUGGGGG